RNAcentral lists this ribosomal RNA (767 nucleotides) under uncultured bacterium. Its description in RNAcentral is "bacterial SSU rRNA". It matches the Rfam family "Bacterial small subunit ribosomal RNA", at positions 108 to 851 of the family's 1533-position model. The record is from RNAcentral.
GAGUAACGCGUAGACAACCUGCCGUAAAGAUGGGGACAACAGUUCGAAAGGACUGCUAAUACCGAAUGUUGUAGAGUUUCUGCAUGGGAAUCCUACUAAAGGUGGCCUCUACUUGUAAGCUAUCGCUUUACGAUGGGUCUGCGUCUGAUUAGCUAGUUGGUGGGGUAACGGCCUACCAAGGCGACGAUCAGUAGCCGGUCUGAGAGGAUGAACGGCCACAUUGGAACUGAGACACGGUCCAGACUCCUACGGGAGGCAGCAGUGGGGAAUCUUCCGCAAUGGGCGCAAGCCUGACGGAGCAACGCCGCGUGAGUGAAGAAGGGUUUCGACUCGUAAAGCUCUGUUGUCGGGGACGAAUGUGGAGAUGGUGAAUAACCAUUUUCAAUGACGGUACCUGACGAGGAAGCCACGGCUAACUACGUGCCAGCAGCCGCGGUAAUACGUAGGUGGCGAGCGUUGUCCGGAAUUAUUGGGCGUAAAGGGAGCGCAGGCGGGAAGGUAAGUCUAUCUUAAAAGUGCGGGGCUCAACCCCGUGAGGGGAUGGAAACUAUCUUUCUUGAGUGCAGGAGAGGAAAGCGGAAUUCCUAGUGUAGCGGUGAAAUGCGUAGAUAUUAGGAGGAACACCAGUGGCGAAGGCGGCUUUCUGGACUGUAACUGACGCUGAGGCUCGAAAGCGUGGGGAGCGAACAGGAUUAGAUACCCUGGUAGUCCACGCCGUAAACGAUGAAUGCUAGGUGUAGGAGGUAUCGACCCCUCCUGUGCCGGAG